Molecule: long non-coding RNA, 192 nt
Organism: Phyllostomus discolor (pale spear-nosed bat)
Lineage: Eukaryota; Metazoa; Chordata; Mammalia; Chiroptera; Phyllostomidae
Exons: 3
Source: RefSeq, a predicted model, not a curated record
GAUUCCCCCAAAUUUCUUCUUUCUCAGGAUUGCUGUUGCUAUGCUAGGCCUGUUGUGGCUCCAUAUAAAAUCUUGAAAUAUUUGUUCUAGUUCUGUGAAAUAUGUCAUUGGAAUCUUGAUAGGAAUUGUGUUGAAUCUAUAGAUUGCUUUGGGUAGUAUGGACAUGUUAAUGAUGUUAAAUCUUCCUAUCCA